ACGUUAGCGGCGGACGGGUGAGUAACACGUGGGUAACCUACCUAUAAGACUGGGAUAACUUCGGGAAACCGGAGCUAAUACCGGAUAAUAUUUCGAACCGCAUGGUUCGAUAGUGAAAGAUGGUUUUGCUAUCACUUAUAGAUGGACCCGCGCCGUAUUAGCUAGUUGGUAAGGUAACGGCUUACCAAGGCGACGAUACGUAGCCGACCUGAGAGGGUGAUCGGCCACACUGGGACUGAGACACGGUCCAGACUCCUACGGGAGGCAGCAGCG
Molecule: ribosomal RNA, 273 nt
Filed under: uncultured Staphylococcus sp.
Lineage: Bacteria; Bacillati; Bacillota; Bacilli; Caryophanales; Staphylococcaceae
Description: partial 16S ribosomal RNA
Rfam family: Bacterial small subunit ribosomal RNA
Source: RNAcentral